Molecule: ribosomal RNA, 301 nt
Filed under: uncultured bacterium
Lineage: Bacteria
Description: partial 16S ribosomal RNA
Rfam family: Bacterial small subunit ribosomal RNA
Source: RNAcentral
CAGUCGCCGCGGUAAAACGUAGGUGGCAAGCGUUGUCCGGAAUUAUUGGGCGUAAAGCGUGCGUAGGCGGUGAGUUAAGUCUGCUGUGAAAUCCCCGGGCUCAACCUGGGAACUGCAUUUGUGACUGCAUGGCUAAAGUGUGUCAGAGGGGGGAAGAAUUCCACGUGUAGCAGUGAAAUGCGUAGAUAUGUGGAGGAAUACCGAUGGCGAAGGCAGCCCCCUGGGAUAACACUGACGCUCAUGCACGAAAGCGUGGGGAGCAAACAGGAUUAGAUACCCCAGUAGUCCCUGUCUCUUAUAC